GAUUUACUCAUGGAGCUGAAAUCAGUCGAAGAUACCAGCUGGCUGCAACUGUUUAUUAAAAACACAGCACUGUGCAAACACGAAAGUGGACGUAUACGGUGUGACGCCUGCCCGGUGCCGGAAGGUUAAUUGAUGGGGUCAGCGCAAGCGAAGCUCCUGAUCGAAGCCCCGGUAAACGGCGGCCGUAACUAUAACGGUCCUAAGGUAGCGAAAUUCCUUGUCGGGUAAGUUCCGACCUGCACGAAUGGCGUAAUGAUGGCCAGGCUGUCUCCACCCGAGACUCAGUGAAAUUGAACUCGCUGUGAAGAUGCAGUGUACCCGCGGCAAGACGGAAAGACCCCGUGAACCUUUACUAUAGCUUGACACUGAACAUUGAGCCUUGAUGUGUAGGAUAGGUGGGAGGCUUUGAAGCGUGGACGCCAGUCUGCGUGGAGCCGACCUUGAAAUACCACCCUUUAAUGUUUGAUGUUCUAACGUGGACCCGUAAUCCGGGUUGCGGACAGUGUCUGGUGGGUAGUUUGACUGGGGCGGUCUCCUCCUAAAGAGUAACGGAGGAGCACGAAGGUUGGCUAAUCCUGGUCGGACAUCAGGAGGUUAGUGCAAUGGCAUAAGCCAGCUUGACUGCGAGCGUGACGGCGCGAGCAGGUGCGAAAGCAGGUCAUAGUGAUCCGGUGGUUCUGAAUGGAAGGGCCAUCGCUCAACGGAUAAAAGGUACUCCGGGGAUAACAGGCUGAUACCGCCCAAGAGUUCAUAUCGACGGCGGUGUUUGGCACCUCGAUGUCGGCUCAUCACAUCCUGGGGCUGAAGUAGGUCCCAAGGGUAUGGCUGUUCGCCAUUUAAAGUGGUACGCGAGCUGGGUUUAGAACGUCGUGAGACAGUUCGGUCCCUAUCUGCCGUGGGCGGUGGAGAACUGAGGGGGGCUGCUCCUAGUACGAGAGGACCGGAGUGGACGCAUCACUGGUGUUCGGGUUGUCAUGCCAAUGGCACUGCCCGGUAGCUAAAUGCGGAAAAGAUAAGUGCUGAAAGCAUCUAAGCACGAAACUUGCCCCGAGAUGAGUUCUCCCUGAGACUUUAGGUCUCCUGAAGGAACGUUGAAGACGACGACGUUGAUAGGCCGGGUGUGUAAGCGCAGCGAUGCGUUGAGCUAACCGGUACUAAUGAACCGUGAGGCUUAACCUUACAACGCCGAAG
Molecule: ribosomal RNA, 1191 nt
Filed under: Salmonella enterica
Lineage: Bacteria; Pseudomonadati; Pseudomonadota; Gammaproteobacteria; Enterobacterales; Enterobacteriaceae
Description: partial 23S ribosomal RNA
Rfam family: Bacterial large subunit ribosomal RNA
Source: RNAcentral